This 590-nucleotide ribosomal RNA is filed under the name Curvularia lunata. RNAcentral describes it as "eukaryotic LSU rRNA". It matches the Rfam family "Eukaryotic large subunit ribosomal RNA", at positions 1 to 594 of the family's 3401-position model. Lineage: Eukaryota; Fungi; Ascomycota; Dothideomycetes; Pleosporales; Pleosporaceae. The record is from RNAcentral.
UUGACCUCGGAUCAGGUAGGGAUACCCGCUGAACUUAAGCAUAUCAAUAAGCGGAGGAAAAGAAACCAACAGGGAUUGCCCUAGUAACGGCGAGUGAAGCGGCAACAGCUCAAAUUUGAAAUCUGGCUCUUUCAGAGUCCGAGUUGUAAUUUGCAGAGGGCGCUUUGGCUUUGGCAGCGGUCCAAGUUCCUUGGAACAGGACGUCACAGAGGGUGAGAAUCCCGUACGUGGUCGCUAGCUAUUGCCGUGUAAAGCCCCUUCGACGAGUCGAGUUGUUUGGGAAUGCAGCUCUAAAUGGGAGGUAAAUUUCUUCUAAAGCUAAAUAUUGGCCAGAGACCGAUAGCGCACAAGUAGAGUGAUCGAAAGAUGAAAAGCACUUUGGAAAGAGAGUCAAACAGCACGUGAAAUUGUUGAAAGGGAAGCGCUUGCAGCCAGACUUGCUUGCAGUUGCUCAUCCGGGCUUUUGCCCGGUGCACUCUUCUGCAGGCAGGCCAGCAUCAGUUUGGGCGGUGGGAUAAAGGUCUCUGACACGUUCCUUCCUUCGGGUUGGCCAUAUAGGGGAGACGUCAUACCACCAGCCUGGACUGAGU